RNAcentral lists this ribosomal RNA (428 nucleotides) under uncultured bacterium. RNAcentral's name for it is "bacterial SSU rRNA". It matches the Rfam family "Bacterial small subunit ribosomal RNA", at positions 355 to 775 of the family's 1533-position model. The record is from RNAcentral.
UGGGGAAUAUUGGACAAUGGGGGGAACCCUGAUCCAGCAAUGCCGCGUGUGUGAAGAAGGCCUGAGGGUUGUAAAGCACUUUCAGUGGGGAGGAGGUUUGUUAGAUUAAGAGUUUGACAAAUGGACGUUACCCACAGAAGAAGCACCGGCUAACUCCGUGCCAGCAGCCGCGGUAAUACGGAGGGUGCAAGCGUUAAUCGGAAUUACUGGGCGUAAAGGGUGCGUAGGUUGUUUUUUAAGUUAUCUGUAAAAUCCCUGGGCUCAACCUGGGCAGGUCAGAUAAGACUGAAAGACUCGAGUAUGGGAGAGGGUAGUGGAAUUUCCGGUGUAGCGGUGAAAUGCGUAGAGAUCGGAAGGAACACCGGUGGCGAAGGCGGCUACCUGGCCUAAUACUGACACUGAGGCACGAAAGCGUGGGGAGCAAACAG